AUGAACGCUGGCGGCGUGCCUAAUACAUGCCAGUCGAGCGAACAGACGAGGAGCUUGCUCCUCUGACGUUAGCGGCGGACGGGUGAGUAACACGUGGAUAACCUACCUAUAAGACUGGGAUAACUUCGGGAAACCGGAGCUAAUACCGGAUAAUAUAUUGAACCGCAUGGUUCAAUAGUGAAAGACGGUUUUGCUGUCACUUAUAGAUGGAUCCGCGCCGCAUUAGCUAGUUGGUAAGGUAACGGCUUACCAAGGCGACGAUGCGUAGCCGACCUGAGAGGGUGAUCGGCCACACUGGAACUGAGACACGGUCCAGACUCCUACGGGAGGCAGCAGUAGGGAAUCUUCCGCAAUGGGCGAAAGCCUGACGGAGCAACGCCGCGUGAGUGAUGAAGGUCUUCGGAUCGUAAAACUCUGUUAUUAGGGAAGAACAAAUGUGUAAGUAACUAUGCACGUCUUGACGGUACCUAGUCAGAAAGCCACGGCUAACUACGUG
RNAcentral lists this ribosomal RNA (496 nucleotides) under uncultured bacterium. RNAcentral describes it as "partial 16S ribosomal RNA". It matches the Rfam family "Bacterial small subunit ribosomal RNA", at positions 29 to 507 of the family's 1533-position model. The record is from RNAcentral.